CCUACGGGGGGCAGCAGUGGGGAAUAUUGCGCAAUGGGCGAAAGCCUGACGCAGCGACGCCGCGUGAGGGAUGAAGGUCUUCGGAUCGUAAACCUCUGUCAGCAGGGAAGAACGGUCACUGUGCUAAUCAGCAGUGAAUUGACGGUACCUGCACAGGAAGCACCGGCUAACUCCGUGCCAGCAGCCGCGGUAAUACGGAGGGUGCGAGCGUGAAUCGGAAUUACUGGGCGUAAAGCGCUCGUAGGCGGUAUGUCAAGUCAAGGGUGAAAUCCCCGCGCUCAACGUGGGAACUGCCUUUGAAACUGGCAAACUGGAGUGUGUGAGAGGGUAGUGGAAGUCCAGGUGUAGGGGUGAAAGCCGUAGAGAUCUGGAGGAACAUCAGUGGCGAAGGCGACUAUCUGGCACAUAACUGACGCUGAGGAGCGAAAGCGUGGGUAGCAAACAGGAUUAGAUACCCUUGUAGUC
This 465-nucleotide ribosomal RNA is filed under the name uncultured bacterium. RNAcentral's name for it is "partial 16S ribosomal RNA". It matches the Rfam family "Bacterial small subunit ribosomal RNA", at positions 338 to 795 of the family's 1533-position model. The record is from RNAcentral.